AGGAUAAUAGUUAAAUUUAACAUUUAAGUUGCAUUUAAAAAAUAUUGAUCAAUCAAUUUAUCUUA
RNAcentral lists this transfer RNA (65 nucleotides) under Curculionoidea sp. 21 KM-2017. RNAcentral's name for it is "tRNA-Ala". The record is from RNAcentral. Lineage: Eukaryota; Metazoa; Arthropoda; Insecta; Coleoptera.